GGAUGUGAGGGCGCUCUGGCUGUGACACCUGUCACCCCACUGAUCGCCAGGGUUGAUUCGGCUGAUCUGGCAGCUAGGUGGGUGUCCCCUUCCUCCUCACCACUCCAUGAAGGUCCUUCCCUCGGUCAAAGAGGAUGACCAUCCCCAAUGGAGAAGGACCAUUCUUCAGUCAAGGGUAGUCAAUCCAAACCAGCUCUCAAGGCCACUCCUUGACCCACCAGCACCUGUCUACCUGGGAGGCUCAAGUU
This 248-nucleotide small RNA is filed under the name Sus scrofa (pig). Its description in RNAcentral is "7SK RNA (ENSSSCG00070000894.1)". The stretch from base 1 to 184 matches the Rfam family "7SK RNA". Rfam says of the family: 7SK was discovered as an abundant small nuclear RNA in the mid-70s but a possible function has only recently been suggested. Two independent studies have found that 7SK RNA binds the CDK9/cyclin T complex (known as elongation factor P-TEFb). P-TEFb activates transcription by phosphorylating the C-terminal domain of RNA polymerase II. Lineage: Eukaryota; Metazoa; Chordata; Mammalia; Artiodactyla; Suidae. The record is from RNAcentral.